Molecule: long non-coding RNA, 299 nt
Filed under: Lathyrus oleraceus (garden pea)
Lineage: Eukaryota; Viridiplantae; Streptophyta; Magnoliopsida; Fabales; Fabaceae
Description: Pisum sativum (pea) long non-coding RNA (PSAT_LNC014378)
Source: RNAcentral
GAAAAUAUGAUAGUUACGUCAUGGCGCCCACCAGGAAGUUUAUGGCGCCCGCCAUGUCUUCGGAUUUGGUUUAGGUCGCCUAUGUUGUUUGCUUCUUGGGCCUCAAUCCUCUCGUCUUCAUUUUUAUAAUGGGAGGUCUAUAUAGGUAUCCAUGAAUGCUGUUUUUUUUUUAUUUUUUUAUUUUAAGCUUGAUAAAAAAAAUAAAAAAUAAAUGAAAUAAAAAAAAUUAAAAUAGAGUAAAACAAAAUUAAAUAAAACAAAACAAAAUAAGAUAAAACAAAAUAAAAUGGUAAAGUAAA